Xiphias gladius (swordfish) is the source of this 247-nucleotide long non-coding RNA. RefSeq lists it as uncharacterized. NCBI's taxonomy places the organism in Eukaryota, Metazoa, Chordata, Actinopteri, Istiophoriformes, Xiphiidae. The record is from RefSeq and is a predicted model, not a curated record. The transcript has 3 exons.
GGAAGAAAUGACAAGUGCUCUUGCAACCAUGAGAAUGGACUACAAGCAAAUCAAAGCCAUUGAAGAGUCGACCAAUCCACUGCUCACACGGCCACCAGGGGAUUACCUUGCCCUAACAAUAUCUGGAAUUCUGGUGACGAUAACCACGUUCAAAAUGGGGCAGCAGAGAGGAAAAUAAAUGAAAGAGAUGAAGAAGGUACAACAAUGAUGAGACAGUGUACUACAAACUCCACCAAACAGUAGGGGU